GAUCAAAGGUGUGUACCUGAUCCAAAGAAGAGGCCUCUCACAGCUCUAGCAGCUUGAUAGUAUGUCCCAACGCCCAAACUAAGUGCAAAAGACCAGGGUUACAAAUGUGCUUGGCUCCUCAAUGCCUCCUCAAGCUGGUAAAGUCCUACUGAAAUACCUGAGGAGCUGAGAACUGAGACAGUCUUCACAGACUCAGCCCAACCACCCAUUUAAGAGAACUGAGAAGCUAAGGCAUUGUCUGCUCUCCAACUCCAGAAAAAUUGUUGUAAGAAAUCUAAGGAUGUGCAAUGACUCUGAAGUGGGGGACAGUGCACAUGAACAGUCUUACAGAAAGACAGACUUCUCUUGGGGUUCACAUCAACUGAGCUCAUCCAGUCCUAGUGGAGAGGAUGGACCAUGCAGGUUCACGAGGACCCCGGAGAACUUCUGACGGCUUACAUCUUUGUGUCAUGAGUGCUUCACACAUCCUCAGAAUACCUGGGAAACUCACCCUGCCCUUCACCUUUGGCGCACUUAGACUUCACCUACCACUCAUCUGAUCAUCACUCGGUAAAGCAA
RNAcentral lists this long non-coding RNA (558 nucleotides) under Anas platyrhynchos platyrhynchos (common mallard). RNAcentral describes it as "lncRNA (ENSAPLG00000026177.1)". The record is from RNAcentral. Lineage: Eukaryota; Metazoa; Chordata; Aves; Anseriformes; Anatidae.